AGUGAACGCUGGCGGUAGGCCUAACACAUGCAAGUCGAACGGCAGCACAGUAAGAGCUUGCUCUUACGGGUGGCGAGUGGCGGACGGGUGAGGAAUACAUCGGAAUCUACUUUUUUGUGGGGGAUAACGUAGGGAAACUUACGCUAAUACCGCAUACGACCUACGGGUGAAAGCAGGGGAUCUUCGGACCUUGCGCGAUUGAAUGAGCCGAUGUCGGAUUAGCUAGUUGGCGGGGUAAAGGCCCACCAAGGCGACGAUCCGUAGCUGGUCUGAGAGGAUGAUCAGCCACACUGGAACUGAGACACGGUCCAGACUCCUACGGGAGGCAGCAGUGGGGAAUAUUGGACAAAGGGCGCAAGCCUGAUCCAGCCAUACCGCGUGGGUGAAGAAGGCCUUCGGGUUGUAAAGCCCUUUUGUUGGGAAAGAAAAGCAGCAGGUUAAUACCCCGCUGCUCUGACGGUACCCAAAGAAUAAGCACCGGCUAACUUCGUG
This 492-nucleotide ribosomal RNA is filed under the name uncultured bacterium. RNAcentral describes it as "partial 16S ribosomal RNA". It matches the Rfam family "Bacterial small subunit ribosomal RNA", at positions 29 to 507 of the family's 1533-position model. The record is from RNAcentral.